Molecule: long non-coding RNA, 375 nt
Filed under: Brassica napus (rape)
Lineage: Eukaryota; Viridiplantae; Streptophyta; Magnoliopsida; Brassicales; Brassicaceae
Description: long non-coding RNA (BNAP_LNC007891)
Source: RNAcentral
UCAUUUGAUAUCUUCUAGUCAGUAUCGACUAGCUUUUCUAAACUUUUCCAAUUCAUUCAAUAGUUUAGACAAUUCAAGUUCAUCAAUCUCGUGCUUUGUUUUGUUGUUGUUUCAGAGCACAGAAGAUAUCAUCAUCGGCGAACAGGCGAGUUGGAUUCAUGAAUCUUUCGAUGGUGGUAAUGGCUUUGGUGGUGAAUGGUGAUGAUGGUAAUGUAACUUGAGGGUUUGUUCGUAUUGUUCUAGGGUUUUGUUGAUAUCGGAACCAGAGACUAUGAUUCCUUCUUCUUUACGUUUCCAUAGUUUCUCUAUUAUUGUUUCUCUGACGUGAUUUUUUUUUCUUUUAUUUUUGGAUUCUAUCUGUUGUUUUAUUCUUUU